CCCACUAUGCCAAACCCUAGAUGCCCCCAAUUCUCUCAUUCUCUCAAAUUAGCCACCUUACUUCGCCGUCUUCCACUACCCGAAAAUCGCCAUCCGGCGGCGGAUCAACACUAAUCCACCCAAAAAAUUAUCAAAUACUCCUCACCACCUCCUCACCCUUAAUCCAACAUCAUUUCCCCCCAAAAAACCUCCCAAUCCUGCCGAUUAGAAGACCUAGGAAUAAAAGUCCCAACUUUUUUGCCCCUUUGCUAAAUUACUAUCAACCCGACCUCCUCUUUACCUAAAUUUUACAUCAAAUGAUACGUCUCGGAAAGACCUUUCGUUUGAGGUCAUUUUUUUACCAUUUUUCGGUGGCCGAAACAUCGUUGACCGUCGUAGACAGGCCGAACUUCCCCAAACUUCAUCUUUUCUUCUUCAAUUCGGCUUGUAAUGAGCAUUGUUACAUGUAGCACUGGAUCGCAUAAACAUUUGUCGGCCAAUGCUCAUGUGACAAUCCUCUUUGCUCACCGGAGUUCUAUUGAUCGUCACCAGAAUUCAUUACAAUCACCGCAUUUCUUUGACGCUGAUCGGGUGUAUAGCAGAUUUGGAACUAUGUAAAAUGAGUGCAAAAAUACUAGAUAGUGAAUGAAUAUUCCACAGCCUAAAGGACCAGUUGAGACCGAUAAGUUGCCGAAGCAGGAAGCUGCAUUUGAUAAGUACUUGCCAAUAAUUGUAAGUUGUGAUCUUUUCGCCCAACCCAGAUGUUGUUUGGUUGAAUAACAAUUGUUGUCUUUAGUGCAUAUGGUCAGCAGAAGUUGUGGACAGCUGACAGAAGUCACAUUCAUUGUUAGUAAAAGAAUCUUGUCAAACUCAAACAGCAUGGUACAGGUUUUCAUUGCAGUCAAAGUCUUGUGGAACAACAUGAUACAAUGAGCCUAGACCAGUCCAAUUUUUAUGCCAUAUGUUGAAAAAUCGAGCAAAGGUUUUAUGCAGAUGUUCUAAGAUAUUGGUAGAUCAAGCACUGAUAGCAUGUGUGUUGGCAUACUUUGUAAAACUGAUGAAAUCAAAGUAGCUUUUCCUCCAUAUGAUAGCAGCUCACACUUCCAUGAAUACAGUUGAUUCUUGACCUUUUUAAUAAUAUUAUUGUAAUAUUCCUUUCUUCU
Long non-coding RNA from Nicotiana tabacum (common tobacco), 1142 nucleotides. RefSeq lists it as uncharacterized. Lineage: Eukaryota; Viridiplantae; Streptophyta; Magnoliopsida; Solanales; Solanaceae. The record is from RefSeq and is a predicted model, not a curated record.